UUCUUUUGAGCUUCUGAUUGUGUGAACUCCUCACAUUCAAAGCAGACCGGCUUGCUGAUUAGUUUUAAAUUUCAGGAGCUUUAAAGUCUCCCAAUUUGGAGGGGAAUUUUCAGGCAAGUUAAGUCAUAACUCAGGCCGGCUGCAGCUUGAGGCAUGCUGGGAUUUGAGCAGCCCGGUGGACUGUGGGCAGAGCAUGAAACUCUGAAUCUCUACAGCUGAACCCCAGAAGGAGGAUCUCCUGGGUAAGAGGGAUAUCUGAUCAAGAGCACUCGAGGUCAUCCCCCUCAAUUUCACUUUCCACUUGAGGCCCCUCACCCUCAUUUUGGCCCUUGCUGCUUCUCCUUUUAAACUCUAGCUGCAAAAUAGUAUACAGGAAACAGGACAGAAUUUUCCAAAAAAUCUGGGCUAAAUUUUAAGAGAAAUCAGCACACCAUACACAAAGCAUCUGAGUUACCCCAUCUAGCCAGCUCACCAUGGCAUUCAGGCCCAUCUCUUUCCUGGCUCUGAGUCAGGUGGGUGCCUAAACUUUGAAAGUAUGUUCCAGCCAUCUUAACCCAGGUGGAGGGUCAGAAAAGCUCCCCAGAGGAAGCAACACUGGAGCAGAGGCCUGAAGAAGGAAUGUCUGAACAAGGGGUGGGAGGAGAACAAGUCAGGGAUGCAAAGAAAAUAGUCCAGGCAGAAGAGAAAGCACAUGCAAAGGUCCUGGGGCAAAAGGGACCAUGGAGAAUUUGAGGGACUGCAGGAAAAAACAAAGUGUCUGAAAAGUAGACAGUAAAAGAGGAGAUGAAAAAUUAGACCAGAGAGAUAGGUCACAGCUCAGUUGCAAAGACAGGUGUAGCCAUGUAUGGUAAACACUGUGCUUUCAUGGAAGUGCUUGAUACCCCAGAUGCUGGGUGUGCUGUCAACAGCCAAUCUUCAGCUAUCAGGCUGUUCAGGGAUUAUCCUACCUUCAGAGAGUUUCCUCACCCAUGUUACACCUGUCAGAGGGCUGCUGACAACCAUUAAGUAUAAAUAGGAUUGAAGACAUGGAAACAACCUAAAUGUCCAUUGACAGAGGAGUGGAUCAAGAAGAUGCGGUACAUACAUACAAUGGAAUAUUACUCAGGCAUUAAAAUGAACAAAAUAAAGGCAUUUUUAGC
This is a long non-coding RNA of Sus scrofa (pig), 1139 nucleotides long. RefSeq lists it as uncharacterized. The record is from RefSeq and is a predicted model, not a curated record. NCBI's taxonomy places the organism in Eukaryota, Metazoa, Chordata, Mammalia, Artiodactyla, Suidae.